GGGGUCGUAUUGGUUUUGACAGCAUAUGGCGCGGUUGGUGUAAGCAUGCAGUGCGUUGGAUAAUUAGCACUUAAAUCUGAAUAUUCAAACUUCAAAUGGCAAUACACAGUAUGCCAUGGCUGCCUAAUCAGUGAUUAGUUAGUCAUUUGGGCCGCCGAACAGGUUGACCUGUUACCAGGUUCCGCCGCCGACUCAAAACAAACACAGGUUGCUGCUGCAACAGGCUGUGCCUGCAGCUUAAGACCAUCCAGCUAAGCUUUGAAUUGGUUUGUUCAUUUCCUGUUCAUCGCCUACAAUUAAUAAUGAAAUAAGCAUGUAGAAAGCCAAUGGUGACGAUGUUUGGACAGGGGUUCGACUCCCCUCGACUCCACUU
Molecule: transfer-messenger RNA, 373 nt
Filed under: Sediminibacterium magnilacihabitans
Lineage: Bacteria; Pseudomonadati; Bacteroidota; Chitinophagia; Chitinophagales; Chitinophagaceae
Also listed under: 1 other name
Description: Standard tmRNA
Rfam family: transfer-messenger RNA
About the family: Bacterial tmRNA, also known as 10Sa RNA or SsrA, is named for its dual tRNA and mRNA-like properties. Its role is to liberate the mRNA from a stalled ribosome.
Source: RNAcentral